UACGUAGGUGGCGAGUGUUAUCCGGAAUGAUUGGGCGUAAAGGGUGCGUAGGCGGCCUGCUAAGUCUGGAGUGAAAGGUACCGGCUCAACCGGUACAGGCUCUGGAAACUGGCGGGCUAGAGAGCAGGAGAGGGCGGUGGAACUCCAUGUGUAGCGGUAAAAUGCGUAGAUAUAUGGAAGAACACCAGUGGCGAAGGCGGCCGCCUGGCCUGUUGGUACUGACGCUGAGGCACGAAAGCGUGGGGAGCAAAUAGG
This 255-nucleotide ribosomal RNA is filed under the name uncultured bacterium. Its description in RNAcentral is "partial 16S ribosomal RNA". It matches the Rfam family "Bacterial small subunit ribosomal RNA", at positions 524 to 776 of the family's 1533-position model. The record is from RNAcentral.